CCUACGGGGGGCAGCAGUGAGGAAUAUUGGUCAAUGGUCGGGAGACUGAACCAGCCAAGCCGCGUGAGGGAGGAAGGUACAGAGUAUCGUAAACCUCUUUUGUCAGGGAACAAAGACUGGGACGCGUCCCCGGAUGAGUGUACCUGAAGAAAAAGCAUCGGCUAACUCGGUGCCAACAGCCGCGGUAAUACGGAGGAUGCGAGUGUUAUCCGGAUUUAUGGGGUUUAAAGGGUGCGCAGGCGGUCUGUUAAGUCAGCGGUCAAAGCCCGGGGCUCAACCCCGGCCCGCCGUUGAAACUGGCAGUCUCGAGUUGGAGAGAAGUAUGCGGAAUGCGUGGUGUAGCGGUGAAAUGCAUAGAUAUCGCGCAGAACUCCGGUUGCGAAGGCAGCAUGCCGGCUCCACACUGACGCUGAGGCACGAAAGCGUGGGUAUCGAACAGGAUUAGAUACCCCAGUAGUC
Molecule: ribosomal RNA, 459 nt
Filed under: uncultured bacterium
Lineage: Bacteria
Description: partial 16S ribosomal RNA
Rfam family: Bacterial small subunit ribosomal RNA
Source: RNAcentral